This is a small nucleolar RNA of Glarea lozoyensis ATCC 20868, 105 nucleotides long. It matches the Rfam family "A. fumigatus snoRNA Afu_513". The record is from Rfam. NCBI's taxonomy places the organism in Eukaryota, Fungi, Ascomycota, Leotiomycetes, Helotiales, Helotiaceae.
UUAAAGGAUGAAUUGGCACUGGGCUCCGACAGUACUCGAAUUCGGGGCUGGCUUAUGAAGGAGAUGCCUCUUUGCGGCAGGCCUAGAAAACCUCGCCCACUGAUC